AUGCUUGCUUUGGCAGCACAUAUACUAAAAUUGGAAUGACUCAGAGAGAAGAUCAGCAGGGUCCUUGCAAAGGAUGACAUCCAACUUCAGAAACCACUCUGUAUGCAU
This 108-nucleotide small nuclear RNA is filed under the name Aotus nancymaae (Ma's night monkey). The record is from RNAcentral. Lineage: Eukaryota; Metazoa; Chordata; Mammalia; Primates; Aotidae.